RNAcentral lists this long non-coding RNA (4523 nucleotides) under Vitis vinifera (wine grape). RNAcentral's name for it is "long non-coding RNA (VVIN_LNC003082)". Lineage: Eukaryota; Viridiplantae; Streptophyta; Magnoliopsida; Vitales; Vitaceae. The record is from RNAcentral.
AGAAUUGGACUCAAAAAGAUGAAAUUGGACCAAAAUGACCAGCUUGCUGCACGGCUGGAGUCCAAGGAAGGGGAGUCAUUAAGAGCUUCUAUUAGGAAGUAUUUUCGUCAUGGUAAUCUUGGGGACUCUCAGGAUACAGAUAUUGUGGGACUGAAAAACUACAUGGAUGCUCAAUACUUUGGUGAAAUUGGUAUUGGUACUCCCCCUCAAACGUUCACUGUAAUCUUUGACACUGGUAGCUCAAACCUGUGGGUUCCAUCAUCCAAGUGCUAUUUCUCGGUGAGCUUCCAUAUUUCUGUGGAAUGUGACAAUAUGUUAGUGAACAUUUUUUUUUCCAUUUCAAGUUGGUUGGAAGCAAGAGAAUCAUCAUGUGUUUGAAUUUUGUCAUUUUGGUGCAGGUUCCUUGCUAUUUCCAUUCAAAGUACAAGUCAAGCCAAUCAAGUACCUACAGGAAGAAUGGUUUGUUCUUAUCACACAUCCAUUAUGUCUUCAAAAGUAUCAUUAUUAUAAUUUUUUCAGAUAGUGGUGUUAAUUGGUCAAUAUUGUGCUUGUGUUAAUAUUAGUAUGAUUCAACCGCAGUGUUUUGUAUAAUGUUUGCAUCAGCCACCUAUAUCCUUGCUUGUGUAUCUUUGGACAACUACCACAUGGGUUUUGGAAUCAUUGUCUAAAAUUAUAUCUGAAAAUUGGCCACUUAACAAACUCGUCAUCCAUCAUGCAGGGAAAUCUGCUGAUAUCCAUUAUGGUACUGGAGCUAUCUCAGGUUUCUUUAGUGAAGACAAUGUGAAAGUUGGUGAUCUUGUUGUGAAGAAUCAGGUGAUUUUGAGCAGUUUUUCCUCUUGAAUUUGAUUGAUUAUUUUGACUAUGGCUGCCUAUGCUAAAAACUGUGGGUCCUUAUCAGGAAUUUAUUGAGGCAACUAGAGAGCCCAGUGUCACAUUUUUGGUGGCCAAAUUUGAUGGUAUAUUAGGACUUGGAUUUCAAGAGAUUUCAGUUGGAAAUGCCGUCCCAGUGUGGUAUGUUGGACAACUUUGAUAUUUUUGUGUUGUGGAUUGUUUGAUCAAGAAGGCUUAGUUUACCUGUUUUUUGUUGUAGUAUAACAAACCCAUAUACUAACUUCUUUAACUUUUUCCGAGGUCAUUCUCAUUGACCCACAAUCAGGCUUGCCUGAUUAUUCUUGAAUUUUUGUGUAUGUGAUGAGGCAUGUGCAUGUGUUACAGGUACAACAUGGUGAAACAAGGUCUUGUUAAGGAGCCAGUAUUUUCAUUCUGGCUCAACCGCAAGACAGAUGAUGAUGAAGGGGGUGAACUUGUGUUUGGUGGAGUUGACCCCGAUCACUUCAAGGGUGAGCACACAUAUGUUCCAGUGACGCAGAAAGGCUAUUGGCAGGUUGGUAAUCUGCAAUGUUGUCGCUUAUAGUGUAAAACAUAUCUGAUUUUUAUCAUCAAUUAUUUUCUCAUUUUGUUUAUCUAUAUUUCUUGUUGAUAGUUUGAUAUGGGCGAAGUUCUUAUUGAUGGUGAAACAACUGGUGAGACCCCUCUUGAAACCAUUGUGUGCUUUAUAAACCAAAAAGUAGGAAAUUGGAGGAAAGAAGGAAAAGCCUAGAUUUAGAGACCUUUUUUUAAUGGUAUAAGCACAUAAUUAGUAUGAUUAUUAUGUCAGUUUGACACAAGCAUACCACCUCAGGGUACUGUGCCGGAGGUUGUGCAGCAAUUGCAGAUUCUGGAACUUCUUUGUUGGCAGGUCCAACGGUAUGUAUCAGUACUCUUAAGAGUUUGGUUAAUUGUUUUUAUUUUAACUUCUGUCCCAUCAAAUAUUCUUCUAGGAUUUAUUGUACUAGUUGAUACACUUAAUAUUCUCAUUGGAGGAAAUUUGAUCUUUCGUAAUUUAGUUUCAAAAGUUGUACACCUGUUUGUGGAAAUAGGAGUCCGCUACAAAUUGUUUUUCCAUGUGUUCAAUACCCAUGGUUCCAACUCCUGAUUUCAGUUUUGGCUUAAAUUCCAUCUGUAUCAUCCCGCUACAAAUUGUUUUUCCAUGUGUUCAAUACCCAUGGUUCCAACUCCUGAUUUCAGUUUUGGCUUAAAUUCCAUCUGUAUCAUCUGAACUUAUACAAAUUCUGUAUGGAAGGUUGAAAAAAUUUAACUAUUUUCUUUUAUUUUUUGCCCCCCCCCAAAAAGUAGCUCAUUUUGGUAGCUUCCCUCAUGGUUUAGAACUUUGUCAAGUAAUGGCAGUUACUAUCGAUCCAGUUCUUCAGUUUGUAGGUUACUAUUGAUUGGAGAACUGUUUAGCUGAAAGAUGGUACCUUUUAGUGGAGCAUGUUAACAGGCUUCCCUGUUGAUGUUAAUACUUUGCGGAUGCAUUAAAGUGCUUGGGUGCAUCCAAAUUUCCUGCAUCUGUGAAAACCAUACAGAGUAUUUUCGAUUAUUUAAAGCAUUGCUCUGUUCAUGACUGGCUUCUGUGGUGUUUAGUCAUUAGCUUAUUGCAAAAAUCUCUCAUUUUUUAAGUCAAUACUUUAUAUAAUUGACAUUCCAGAAGCAUACUGGCUCCUGAGGGUUUUUACACCGACAUGUAAAAGAUGCAAUAAGAAUUCACAGUAAAUAGAAUUCACAUCGCCAAAUAAAACGGCUGUGAUAUGAAAGCCCAUACUUUUAGCGCUAUAGCAAUGCAUCUCUAAAAAUAUGGUUGUUUAAUUGAUUCAGUCUGUCUUUCUCAGGCUGUUGUUGCUAUGAUAAAUCAUGCCAUUGGAGCCACCGGAGUUGUUAGCCAGGAAUGCAAGACUGUAGUUGCACAGUAUGGGGAAACAAUCAUGGAUUUACUUUUAUCAGAGGUGAACACUAUCUUUUUAUUAUCUUUUAUCUAGUUUAAUUUCUCAAUCUCCAGAUUACUUCACAUGGCUGCUCAAACAUGUUCCACAUUACGUUUUCAUAACUGGGGAGGUGUUACUGGCGUUAAUUGUUUCCAGAAUAUGUCUAAUGUACUUCUAUAAUUAACUGACUACAUCUUUUGGAUUUUGUAUUUUACAGGCAUCACCACAGAAGAUUUGCUCGCAAAUUGGGUUGUGCACCUUUGAUGGGACUCGUGGUGUUGGGUCAGGCGCAAAAUAUAUUCUAUUAUUAUCACAUUGUUUCUUUAUUAUAAAUUAUAUCAGGAAAAAAAAAAUGCAGCUUGUGCAUCUGCCAACUGAUGUUAUUAUCAGUUACCUUAUCCUGACUAUAUCUAUGUGAUAAGCUCAUUGGUUCAUGAAUGUGCUUGUGUAGCAUGGGCAUUGAGAGUGUUGUGGAUGAGAAGAAUGGUGACAAGUCAUCUGGUGUACAUGAUGCUGGAUGCUCUGCUUGUGAGAUGGCAGUUGUCUGGAUGCAAAGCCAGCUUCGGCAGAAUCAGACAAAAGAACGUAUAUUGGAGUAUGUGAAUGAGGUGAGCUUUUUGCCUAAUUUUUUUAUUUAUUUUUUGGUUUUUAAUCCUUUAAUCCUGCACAAGGGUGCUUCAGCAUUGACUUUGACCUUCGAUACAAUUUCAGCUUUGUGAUCGACUGCCGAGCCCAAUGGGAGAAUCAGCUGUGGACUGUUUACAGCUUUCUUCCAUGCCUAAUGUUUCCUUAACUAUUGGUGGUAAAGUUUUUGAUCUCUCAGCAAAUGAGGUAUGACAUUACUCCUGUUUCUUCUAAAUUAAGAUAUAUUAUUUAGGGUUCUAAAGCUAAGCGAGAUUAGGUGGGUGUAAUAGGUUACUCAGUUACCCAACUUCUUUUAAGUUCCCAUUUUGGAAAAAUUAGAAUUAGAAUAUUGUAAGAAGUGAUUGCUGAAUAUGGUUUUCUGGUUUUCUGACCCCCUUAUUAGCACAGCUGAUUUUCAGUAGUCGCACUUGUGUUAUUUGCUCAAUUAAACGGUCACCAGUAAACAUACAUACAUAUCUGAACUUGGUUUGCAUUCCUUUUCAUUGUCCUCACAUUACUUUUCUUGGUUGAUCAGUACGUGCUGAAGGUGGGCGAGGGUGCUGCUGCACAGUGCAUUAGUGGCUUUAUUGCCAUGGACGUCCCUCCUCCACGAGGACCCCUCUGGUAUUUUAUUCCCUUCCCAAUUUACUUUCCUAGUGUCCCAUACCAUCCUUCGAUGCUGGUGAUGCUAUUUUCCACUGAUUCCAAUUAUGUACUGCAGGAUCCUGGGAGACGUCUUCAUGGGUCGCUACCACACCGUGUUCGAUUAUGGUAAUAUGAGAGUUGGAUUUGCAGAAGCGGCAUAAGAGAAACCCACCUGGGGGACUCUUGGCUUCUUCAAAACUUGAAUCUCUUAUCUAGUAGAUGUUAAUGAGUGCCUUAACAGACACAAUGGAGUUUAAAUUACAUAUUGAAAAAGUAAAAAAGGAAAAAGGGUUGUAAUAACGGAGUUUAAGAAUGGAGUCUGUGAGGUGCUGGCUGGCUUCUGAUUUGGAAACAUUACUCUCUUUCAUGUAUAUAUUGCUGCUUGCUCUGUUUUAAUUAAUGUAAAAAAGAAAAGAAAAAAUCAUGUGAAAAGGUCGCACUCUUUUUGGGCCA